AGCAGCCGCGGUAAUUCCAGCUCCAAUAGCGUAUAUUAAAGUUGUUGCAGUUAAAAAGCUCGUAGUUGAAUUUCGGGAUCAAUACGUCUGUCGUGCCUUUGGUACGUACGGGUGUAAUUGGUUUCUACCUUCUGAGGAUCCUUGAUGUCAUUAAUUUGGUGUCUUGGGGAAUCAGGACUGUUACCUUGAAAAAAUUAGAGUGUUUAAAGCAGGCAUACGCUUGAAUACAUUAGCAUGGAAUAAUGAAAUAGGACGUUCGAUUCUAUUUUGUUGGUUUCUAGGAUCGACGUAAUGAUUAAUAGGGAUAGUUGGGGGCAUUAGUAUUCAAUUGUCAGAGGUGAAAUUCUUGGAUUUAUUGAAGACUAACUACUGCGAAAGCGUUUGCCAGGAUGUUUUCAUUAAUCAAGAACGAAGUUAGGGAUCGAAGACGAUCAGAUACCGUCGUAGUCUUAACCAUAAACUAUGACCGACUAGGGAUCGGAUGAUGUUAAUUUUUANGACUCAUUCGGCGCCUUACGGG
RNAcentral lists this ribosomal RNA (520 nucleotides) under uncultured Glomus. Its description in RNAcentral is "SSU rRNA". It matches the Rfam family "Eukaryotic small subunit ribosomal RNA", at positions 569 to 1094 of the family's 1831-position model. Lineage: Eukaryota; Fungi; Glomeromycota; Glomeromycetes; Glomerales; Glomeraceae. The record is from RNAcentral.